AGAGCGAACGCUGGCGGCAGGCCUAACACAUGCAAGUCGAGCGGAUGUAGCAAUACAUCAGCGGCAGACGGGAGAGUAACACGUGGGAACGCGCCCUUCGGUUCGGAAUAACUCAGGGAAACUUGAGCUAAUACCGGAUACGCCCUUACGGGGAAAGAUUCAUUGCCGAAGGAACGGCCCGCGUCCGAUUAGCUUGUUGGUGAGGUAAUGGCUCACCAAGGCGACGAUCGGUAGCUGGUCUAAGAGGAUGAUCAGCCUCACUGGAACUGAGACACGGCCCAGACUCCUACGGGAGGCAGCAGUGGGAAUAUUGGACAAUGGGCGCAAGCCUGAUCCAGCCAUGCCGCGUGGGUGAUGAAGGCCCUAGGGUUGUAAAGCCCUUUCGGGCGGGAAGAUAAUGACGGUACCCGCAGAAGAAGCCCCGGCUAACUUCGUGCCAGCAGCCGC
This 447-nucleotide ribosomal RNA is filed under the name uncultured bacterium. Its description in RNAcentral is "SSU rRNA". It matches the Rfam family "Bacterial small subunit ribosomal RNA", at positions 26 to 518 of the family's 1533-position model. The record is from RNAcentral.